UUGUCGAUACCUGCAA
Molecule: ribosomal RNA, 16 nt
Filed under: Nematanthus teixeiranus
Lineage: Eukaryota; Viridiplantae; Streptophyta; Magnoliopsida; Lamiales; Gesneriaceae
Also listed under: 1 other name
Description: partial 18S ribosomal RNA
Source: RNAcentral